RNAcentral lists this long non-coding RNA (1676 nucleotides) under Leptinotarsa decemlineata (Colorado potato beetle). RNAcentral's name for it is "uncharacterized LOC111512237, transcript variant X2". The record is from RNAcentral. Lineage: Eukaryota; Metazoa; Arthropoda; Insecta; Coleoptera; Chrysomelidae.
UUACAACAGUACAAUAGAAUCGUGAUGUUAAACUUCACGAAAAAAUCCGUUUGAGUAUUGAUUAGAAAUUUAUGAAUGGACUGACCCGUAACUUGACGAAAACACUAUCCAUAAUAAUAAUAUAUGAAUUUAUUAAAUUUUUCUGUACAAUGAUAAGACAAUAUCAAUUUGAACAAAUUCAGGAAACCCACAAAGGACACCCUGUGAGUGAGUAUUACUGUUUUAUUCACAACAUUCACAUUAUAAAUCAGAACAGUGAGAGUAAAAUGAAUUUGACAAUUCAGGUUAUGAAAAUGUAAAUUACACAGUUUUUACAAACACUUUUAUUUCUGGGAAAAAUACUCUGCUUGAUAACUACAUUUCCAUUAUAGUUAAUCUCCCAUCCUUCGCAGACGUAGUGGAACUUUCCAGAAACUACGGAGCAGGCUUGGCAAACUACGCAGUUGUCCCCUGCCUCGCUCGGUGUGUAUCGACCCAAGCAAACACUUCACAACUGCGACAUACGUUAUAUGUAAUUCCUACGCGUGGGAGAGAGACGGCUAGAUUUUGAGAUGAGUAUUACACCGUAACCGCUGAGAUCGAUAUGGCUGGGGACGCCAAGCAAACAAUCAGGAGGUCUCUGAAUGUUCUAGAAAAACGCAGUGGAAGGGGAGAACCUUUAAAUACUGUCCCGUUCCGAUUUUGUAACGCAGUCGAAAAUUUUACUAAGUGUGAUAAGUUGAAAAUGGUGUGGAGUAGUGGUGACCAAACAAAGCAGGCAGCUGUUGGGUGUGAUGCAAGAGGAUUGCAAGGAUUUGUAUAAGUCGUAUUCUUUUAGUAUCCAAUUUCAAACGUAGUUUUAAGGUAGCUUGCUGAAAUUUUGUCGAAAUUGAUUGAUUUAUGUGGUCUAGUUACACCUGGCCAGUGUAAAUGGGCCACGUCACAAUUUCCUUUAGUAGAAUUCGAAUUUAAUUAGUGGAACAACUUGUUUUCAACGAAUAUCAUUUGUUUAAAACGAUUACAAAAUGAGCAAGUUCGAUUUAUAAUAAUUGUUCCCUUAUGUGGUAUCAAAAGAUGUUAAUUAAUUUCAGAGUUUUUCAACAUAAUGAUGUAAUUGCGUCAUUGCGCCGUGUCCCAAAAUGGCGGCUAGGGUGCGGUCGUCACCAUCUUGUCGAAUCGAGAUCUAUCGAAACGAAAUCAUUGAGCGACCGUUAGGCAGAUUAAUUGAUUUUUAAGAGAGCAGAUUCGUAGAGUCUUAAGACCAUGGUAUGAUGAUAUUUUACUUAGAGAGGCCCUGGCCUCGCAUAGAUUUACCCGUCAGCUGCGCUGGCACACCUUUUGAGAAUUUUCUAGAUCGUGCUAUGGCAUAGAGAAGUCCGGUUCGUGUAAAGGAUGUCCCCCCAAAAUGAACUGCGAUUUUUGGUAUUCCCAUCGGAGUUUGUGAAUACUUUGAAUGAUUCUUGUAUUAUUUUGGUGUAUAUGGACAAUGUGUUCAUAAGCCUAUAUAUAUAUUUUUUUAUGAAACUUGCGAUGAAAUGCAUUUCACCUGAAAAUUAUGAAGAAACAACCCUAUUAUUGAUAACAUUGAUAUUUAUAUUCCUAUAGAAAAAUACCAUUAUCAUUAUUUGAAAACACUUCAUGGCGUUUGUACAACUUAACUUGAAUCUAAUAUGAAUAAAUACAUUUAAAAGCUUCUA